UCCCAAGUAGUAAAAUUAAAAUAAACACUAAUACAAAACGCAGUUUUUACAUCGGUGGAAAAUGACAUUCUACAUCGGUGAUUGACCGAUGUAGAAUAAGAUGUCGUUGAAAGUUAAAAGUUUCAACAUCGGUCCUAAAAUAACUGUUGUAGAAAGACAACGUUUUCUACAUUGCGCCUAAUGUACCAACUAUCCUUGAUAAGUAAUUAUUACAACGGUGCUAUACUAACCACUGAUGUAGAAAUUAGACCUUCUACAUCUGUGUUAUAUUCAUCAACGAUGUAAAAAGGAGGUUUUCCACAUCGGUGCUUAUGUCACCAC
This 321-nucleotide long non-coding RNA is filed under the name Glycine max (soybean). RNAcentral's name for it is "long non-coding RNA (GMAX_LNC002539)". The record is from RNAcentral. Lineage: Eukaryota; Viridiplantae; Streptophyta; Magnoliopsida; Fabales; Fabaceae.